RNAcentral lists this transfer RNA (78 nucleotides) under Candidatus Woesearchaeota archaeon CG11_big_fil_rev_8_21_14_0_20_43_8. Its description in RNAcentral is "tRNA-His". Lineage: Archaea; Nanobdellati; Candidatus Woesearchaeota. The record is from RNAcentral.
GCGGCCAUGGUGUAGCUUGGUUAGCAUAGGGGACUGUGGAUCCUCUGGGGCGGGUUCAAAUAGCAUGCAAUGGAUGAU